RNAcentral lists this transfer RNA (66 nucleotides) under Laticauda semifasciata (broad-banded blue sea krait). Its description in RNAcentral is "tRNA-Arg". The record is from RNAcentral. Lineage: Eukaryota; Metazoa; Chordata; Lepidosauria; Squamata; Elapidae.
GCUGAGGUGGUCUAAUUAGACACCAGAUUUCGACUCGGGAGAACUUAAUACACUUAAGCCUCAGUA